UUUUAGCCCCGAUAGCAGUAGAAAUCCUUUUCUUUUUGUCAUUUUGAGCGCAGUCGAAAAGCAAAAAGAAAAGAUUGUAACGGAUAGCGGGUGUGAUC
RNAcentral lists this small RNA (98 nucleotides) under Flavobacterium sp. 9AF. Its description in RNAcentral is "Flavo-1 RNA". It matches the Rfam family "Flavo-1 RNA". The record is from Rfam by way of RNAcentral. Lineage: Bacteria; Pseudomonadati; Bacteroidota; Flavobacteriia; Flavobacteriales; Flavobacteriaceae.